RNAcentral lists this ribosomal RNA (465 nucleotides) under Vreelandella stevensii. RNAcentral's name for it is "partial 16S ribosomal RNA". It matches the Rfam family "Bacterial small subunit ribosomal RNA", at positions 338 to 795 of the family's 1533-position model. The record is from RNAcentral. Lineage: Bacteria; Pseudomonadati; Pseudomonadota; Gammaproteobacteria; Oceanospirillales; Halomonadaceae.
CCUACGGGAGGCAGCAGUGGGGAAUAUUGGACAAUGGGAGGAACCCUGAUCCAGCCAUGCCGCGUGUGUGAAGAAGGCCCUCGGGUUGUAAAGCACUUUCAGUGAGGAAGAACGCCUGGUGGUUAAUACCCAUCAGGAAAGACAUCACUCACAGAAGAAGCACCGGCUAACUCCGUGCCAGCAGCCGCGGUAAUACGGAGGGUGCGAGCGUUAAUCGGAAUUACUGGGCGUAAAGCGCGCGUAGGUGGCUUGAUAAGCCGGUUGUGAAAGCCCCGGGCUCAACCUGGGAACGGCAUCCGGAACUGUCAAGCUAGAGUGCAGGAGAGGAAGGUAGAAUUCCCGGUGUAGCGGUGAAAUGCGUAGAGAUCGGGAGGAAUACCAGUGGCGAAGGCGGCCUUCUGGACUGACACUGACACUGAGGUGCGAAAGCGUGGGUAGCAAACAGGAUUAGAUACCCUAGUAGUC